This 894-nucleotide ribosomal RNA is filed under the name uncultured bacterium. RNAcentral's name for it is "bacterial SSU rRNA". It matches the Rfam family "Bacterial small subunit ribosomal RNA", at positions 58 to 944 of the family's 1533-position model. The record is from RNAcentral.
CAAGUCGAGGGGCAGCAUGAUUGAAGCUUGCUUCAAUUGAUGGCGACCGGCGCACGGGUGAGUAACGCGUAUCCAACCUUCCGUACACUCAGGGAUAGCCUUUCGAAAGAAAGAUUAAUACCCGAUGGUAUGAUGAGAUUGCAUGAUAGCAUCAUUAAAGAUUUAUCGGAGUACGAUGGGGAUGCGUUCCAUUAGGUAGUAGGCGGGGUAACGGCCCACCUAGCCGACGAUGGAUAGGGGUUCUGAGAGGAAGGUCCCCCACAUUGGAACUGAGACACGGUCCAAACUCCUACGGGAGGCAGCAGUGAGGAAUAUUGGUCAAUGGACGAGAGUCUGAACCAGCCAAGUAGCGUGAAGGAUGAAGGUCCUACGGAUUGUAAACUUCUUUUAUAAGGGAAUAAAACCUCCCACGUGUGGGAGCUUGUAUGUACCUUAUGAAUAAGCAUCGGCUAACUCCGUGCCAGCAGCCGCGGUAAUACGGAGGAUGCGAGCGUUAUCCGGAUUUAUUGGGUUUAAAGGGAGCGCAGACGGGUCGUUAAGUCAGCUGUGAAAGUUUGGGGCUCAACCUUAAAAUUGCAGUUGAUACUGGCGUCCUUGAGUGCGGUUGAGGUGUGCGGAAUUCGUGGUGUAGCGGUGAAAUGCUUAGAUAUCACGAAGAACUCCGAUUGCGAAGGCAGCACACUAAGCCGUAACUGACGUUCAUGCUCGAAAGUGUGGGUAUCAAACAGGAUUAGAUACCCUGGUAGUCCACACGGUAAACGAUGGAUACUCGCUGUUGGCGAUAUACAGUCAGCGGCUUAGCGAAAGCGUUAAGUAUCCCACCUGGGGAGUACGCCGGCAACGGUGAAACUCAAAGGAAUUGACGGGGGCCCGCACAAGCGGAGGAACAUGUGG